GAUCCUGGCUCAGGAUGAACGCUGGCGGCGUGCCUAAUACAUGCAAGUCGGACGCAAUGCUUCGGCAUUGAGUGGCGAACGGGUGAGUAAUACAUAAGCAACCUGCCCCUGUGAGGGGGAUAACUGCUGGAAACGGCAGCUAAGACCGCAUAGGCAUACAUGACGCAUGUCGAGUAUGUUAAAUAUCCUACGGGAUAGCACAGGGAUGGGCUU
Molecule: ribosomal RNA, 213 nt
Filed under: uncultured bacterium
Lineage: Bacteria
Description: partial 16S ribosomal RNA
Rfam family: Bacterial small subunit ribosomal RNA
Source: RNAcentral